Molecule: small nuclear RNA, 22 nt
Filed under: Arabidopsis thaliana (thale cress)
Lineage: Eukaryota; Viridiplantae; Streptophyta; Magnoliopsida; Brassicales; Brassicaceae
Description: snRNA_08347
Source: RNAcentral
UGCACGGGCCGGCUCAACCCGC